CUGUUUAUUAUCUCUGCAUAGUCACUUCACCCCCACCUACAUGUACAAAUUACCUCAACUAACCUGUACCCCCGCACACUGACUCGGUACCGGUGCCCUUGGUACUCUUCAUGAACUGCACUGUUGGUUAAGGGCUUGUAAGUAAGCAUUUCACGGUAAAGUCUACACUUGUUGUAUUCGGCGCAUGUGACAAAUAACAUUUGAUUUGAUAUGUUUACAUUGCCAAAGCAAGUGAAAUAAACAACAAACAAAAAGUGAGAAGAAACAAAUGUAACAACAUCAACAAAAAACGAUUAGAAAUGAACGGUAAACAUUGUGCUCAAAAAAGUUUCAAAAAGAUAAAGACAUUUCCAGUGUUAUAUUAUCAGCUGUUUUAGCAAUGCGCAAAUAGUUGUAGUGCGAAUAGUGCGGGAAGAUAAAUAAGUAUUGGUGGUAUUUUCAAUGUUGUCUGUGCUCCACUGGUUGCCCUUUUCUCAUGGCAACAGGCCACAAAUCUUGCUAGUGUGAUUGCACAUUGUGGUAUUUCGCCUACCAGAUAUAGGAGUUUAUCAACGUUUGUGGGUCUGUGUGAUCUGUGUGAAAUAUGUGUAUCUAAUGUGGUUAUACAUUUGGCAGGAGGUUAGGAAGUGCUGCUCAGUUUCACCUCAUUUUGUGGACAGUGGGCACAUAUCCUGUCUUCUCUUGAGAGCCAGGACUGCCUAUGGCGACCUCUCUCAAUAGCUCUCUCUCUGUCUCUAAGUUCAGGAUAGGAGAUGCCUCGGGCAUGACUUCAUAGGACAGGUGUUAUUUGCUCUGCUCUCUCAAGGCUGUGCAGUUGAAUCUUCAAAGGGGGAGAUGGGAAAGAUUACCGACAUAAAAGGUUAGACUUGGCGUCUCUUUCUGUUUGGCCUGGACCUCCUCUCGCCUGGCUGCUGAGCUCUGGUUAGCAAAUGACUACUUCUGACCAGAGGCCUAUGGGCCCUGGUCAAAAGUAGUGCACUAUAUAGGGAAUAGGGUGCCAUUUGGGAUGCAUAUGAUGCCUGUGUGAUGAGCUAGAGGCCCGUUUGCUCACAUGGUCCUGGUGGAAAUACACACCCUUGUGCAAGAGAUUGGUCACACACCUCGCUGUGUACAGUGAAGAUUAUUAUUAGGAAGGAAGGCGGUUGGGGUGGAGUAUCUGGGAAGGAAGGUAUCCUGAUUAUAGUGGCUAAGGAUUUUGUUGGUUCAUUGAACUGUCCCCUAAAUAUUUUCAAUGAUUACUGAAGUCUAUCAAAUUACCAUUGAAUGUUUCUUAAGGUGGUAGAACUCCACUUUGUUCCCCUCUAACUCAACCCCUAAUCAGACCUGUUUUUGAUAGUGUAAACUCAUACACGCGUGCACAUAUGCAGACACACACACAUUCACACACAUUUGCAUGUAAGGAAGUACAAGUACGGAGGACACGGCAGGUGCGUGCUAGACAUUGGUCGCUGCCCGUUUUACCUGAGGCUAAGUAGAGUGGAUUCUCUCCCUAUCUCGAAUGCAGUGAACAGAGCCAUAGAAUGCAUCCUAAAUGGCCCCCUAUUCCUUAUUUAGUACACUACUUCUGACCAAGGCCUCUGGUAAAAGGUGCUGCACUCUACAGGGAAUAGGGUGCCAUUUAGGAUGCAAAAUUACAGUCAGCAGAGAGAGAGAGAGAGAGAAAAUCCUCUACCAGAAAACGGAUAUCAUAGAGAAUCCUGUCAGACAACUCUUCCUUUCUCUCAUUCUUUCCUUUUCUCCUCAUCAUUCAUUCCCCUCUUUCACUCUUUCCUGUCCUCUGCAAUAGAUUGUGACGUCUUCUUUCUGUACCUCCAUGUUGUUGUGUUCCCUUCCUCAACAAUGACAGUGAUGUGCGCUGGUCCCUAUCAGUUGUGUGUUUAUACAGGUCAGUGGAGCGCAUGGCUGCAUGGUGGGGGCCAGGCUAUGGGACCAGACUACAGGGGCCAGGCCAGUUGAGGAGUGUCUUUGCCCAGGUCAGUGAACACCGUGCUGGGGGAGAGACCCAGAGAGAAACACCUGGCUGGCGGUCCCACUCCCCUCUCUCUCUCUACCCCCACUCCCCCUUCCACCCCUCUCCCCUACUCCCCUCCUUUCUUCUCCCCUCCUCACUUCCCCCUCUCAUCCCCUUCCGUCCUCCCCUCCUGCUCCACCAGCCUCAGCUGCUAACACCGUCAGGCGCCAGGAGGACAUCUGCCCACCUCUGGGUAAUGGAGCUGUCACUAAUGUAGUCCGUUUACGCUUAGCCCAGCUUUGCCAUUUAUGUCUCUCUCUCUCUCCCUCCUCCUCUCUUCCCCUCAUACUUCAAUCCUUCCCUCUGAGCGCUGCCUGCUGCUCAAGAACUGUUGAACUGCUGUAACUAUGUCAAGCUUUUCUCACCCUCCUCUCACAGCUCAUGCCACUGUGCAGUGCAGUAUGUGUCGCUUAGGUUAGGUCUAACUUAGACACUGUGAACUCCUUGAGAUAUUCUCUUCCGUUUUAUGUUAUGUUUUAUGUUAUGCUAUCAUUUUUUUUUGAUUCAGUACUGAUGAUAAACAACGACUUUCAAUGAAUGUGACAGCCAAGGGAAAUCCAAGUGCACUAAAGGGAAUAUGGUGCCAUUUGGGACGUGUCCUGGGUCAGCAGCAGGCCAGAGACUGGGCUCCUCCACCCAGGAAGACUGGGUGUAGUCAUAAAUGACAAAAGUACAUCUACUUGGCCUUUGCAGCUAGAGACUGGGAGAGGAGCGGAGACAGGAGCUCGUGGCUGGUAGAAGGAUGCACUGGUAAUAAAAAUGCGAAGGACCUGAGCCCUAGGACCAUGCCUCAGACUACCUGGCCUGAUGACUCCUUGCUGUCCCCAGUCCACCUGGCCGUGCUGCUGCUCCAGUUUCAACUGUUCUGCCUGCGGCUAUGGAACACUGACUUGUUCACCGGACGUGCUACCUGAAUGAUUGGCUAUGAAAAGCCAACUGACAUUUACUCCUGAGGUGCUGACCUUUUGCACCCUCGACAACCACUGUGAUUAUUAUUAUUAUUUGACCCUGCUGGUCAUCUAUGAACAUUUGAACAUCUUGGCCAUGUUCUGUUAUAAUCUUCACCCGGCACAGCCAGAAGAGGACUGGCCACCCCUCAUAGCCUGGUUCCUCUCUAGGUUUCUUCCUAGGUUCUGGCCUUUCUAGGGAGUUUUUCCUUGCCACCGUGCUUCUACACCUGCAUUGCUUGCUGUUUGGGGUUUUAGGCUGGGUUUCUGUACAGCACUUUGUGACAUCAGCUGAUGUAAGAAGGGCUUUAGAAAUACAUUUGAUUGAUUGAUUGAUUGAAUUGAGUUUGGUUGACAACUAAACCAAAUAUCAACAUUUAAAGGAGAUGUAUCUACUGCUUGGAUAGGUCCAUCUGAGCCAUUGGCUUAAUCCAGAUGGAGACAUGAAUCCAACAUAUAAUCUGUUAACUUGUCGACAGGUUAAUUGGCUAUUUAUACUAUUUCAAAAGUAUCUUCUGCUUGGAUAGUUCCAUCUGUGCCACUGACUUAGUCUAGCUUUUAUUCCAGUUUGUAUACAAAUUAAUAAUUGAUAUGUUGGAUUCACAUCUCAAUCUCAACCAAAAAUCUAAGUUAAAGAAUAGGACUAAAUCAAAUCAAAUCAAACUUUAAAUGCACUUUAAAUAAAGUUAGAUUUGAUUUGGUCCUACUCUUUAUCUUAGAUUUUUGGUUGAGAUGGAAACAUGAAUCCUCCAUAUCAAUUAGCCAGACUAAGUCAGUGGUACAGAUGGAACUAUCCAAGCAGAGUAACUACUUCCUUCAAAUGUUGAUCUUUUGACAACCAAACACAUAUUAAUAUCCCCAAAUAUCAUUAUCUUUGAAAUCAACUAGAGCUUGAAACGCUAGGCCUAUUGUAUUGCCUAUUAUAAUUUUAUUGGAAUUCUGGGUUGAAUUGAAACAAUAGUUGUUGAUGACUUCGCAAAUCCUAUACAAGCCUAAAUAGCAUAAUUGAAGAUAUAUGAGUGAUAAAGUUGUUGAUUUUUUUAGGGGGCUCCUGAGUGGUGCAGCAGUCUAAGGCACUGCAUCUCAGGGCUAGAAGCAUCACUACAGACCCUGGUUUGAUCCCGGGCUGUAUCACAACAGGCUGUGAUCGGGAGUCCCACAGGGCAGCGCACAAUUGGCCCAGCGUCAUUCGGGUUAGGGGAGGGUUUGGCAAGGGUAGGCCAUCAUUGUAAAAUAAGAAUAUGUUCUUAACUGACGUGCCUAGUUAAAUUAAAAAUAAAUACAAAUUAGGAUCCCCAAUGGCAAUAGCUAGUCUUACUGAGGUCUGACUCAUAACAAAAAAGUAAUUACUGACAAAAGACUUUACAAUUUAAAAACAUGAACAUGUAGUGUGUGCAUCUAUUUAUAAAGUAUGGUCACAUUUAAUUUGCUUUGUUAAACCUAGCCUUUGGAGGGACUUUGACAGCAACAGUGAAUCUAUUUUGUUUUUUAAAUGGAGAUCUCUCAGAAAUCAUUCUCACGAUAGUACAUUGGUAAUAGUCAUUGACAAAUAUCAUAGCCACGCUGGGCUGGGUUUGGUUUAAAGCCUGAAUGGGAGUCCAAAUGGUAGCUAUAGAAAGAUCAAUGCUCCUGUAGGAAGUGCUGUCCAUCUUAUAUUUUUCUUUUAGUGUACAUAACAUUGAAGAUCUGACGUUGUUUUAAAGUUAUAAGUUCAACAUAUUUUAUACAAGGCUUGUCUAUGUUGUAAUUUGGUUACCAUUAUGAUAUAAUCCUGAGGUUGAAAUGUCACCCUCAAAAAAAGUUGAUUACUUUUUUCAAAUCCAAUGUAUCAUCCAUGUAGAUUCUUUGUCACAAUAACGUUAACAAAUUAUGUUGCAACCACGUUUUCAAAGUUGUGUGCAAAAGAACCAUAGGACCACCACGCACUCACCAAGCGUUAAGCAACAUAAGGUUCUCAAAACGUUAUGUGCUAGCUGGGUUUAAACAAGCUAGGGGGUUAUGGAUUAUUGCCUACUGUGAGCCAAAGCAGUUGCUACUGAGCAUCUCAAUAUUAGCUUUUAUUGUUUCCAGCUGCUGGGAUGAUGAGUGAGUGUCAGAGGAGAGAUGCUACAUAUCCUAUGGAGUUUGACACUAAUUGCAUCUUCCACCCAUAAUCAUUCCAGAGAAACACCCAACUGCUCCCAUAGAGAGUCUAUGGCUGUGUCCCAAAUUUCAUCCUAUUCCCUGCACUACUUUUGACCAGAGGCCUGGGGAAUAGAGUGCCAUUUGGGAAGCAGUCUAAUCUCUUACCACCUUUAUUGGAUUCCAUUCCCCCCCGCAACAUAUCACAAUAUUAAACAAUGUUCUGUCUGUCAUUGUCUGAGCCACUGAGUGUCUUGAUAUCUCCACAUCAAUACUGCUCAACUAGGCCUACAUCUCAAUUACUUCCAUUGGGUGCACUUUGUAUUCAGCUCCGAUCUACAAUACUGAAUGUUCUUCAAAGGUAUACAUGACAAUGGUGUGUGAAAUCAUCAUCCUCCCUUUACCAGCUUACAGACAGAUAGGCACGGAGGCAGGCAGCCAGGUAGGCAGACAAGCAGGCAGGAAGGCAGACAGGUGAUUAUUCUCCUCCUCCUCCUCUUCCGCCAAGAGAAGAAACCAUGAUAUAAUGUAUAUUUAAUGUCAGCUAUCUACCACUACCACCAUGUAUGUACUGUAUGUAUGUAUGUAUGCAUGUAUGUAUGUAUGUAUGUAUGCAUGUAUGCAUGUAUGUAUGUAUGUAUGUAUGUAUGUACACCUGCUUGUCGAACAUCUCAUUCCAAAAUCAUGGGCAUUAAUAUGGAGUUGGUCACCCCUUUGCUGCUACAACAGCCUCCACUCUUCUGGGAAGCCUUUCCACUAGAUGUUGGAACAUUGCUGCGGGGAUUGCUUCCAUUCAGCCACAAGAGCAUUAGUGAGGUCGGGCACUGAUGUUGGGCGAUUAGGCCUGGCUCGCUGUCGGCGUUCCAAUUUAUCCCAAAGAUGUUCAAUGUCGUUGAGGUCAGGGCUCUGUGCAGGCCAGUUAAGUCCUUCCACACCGAUCUCAACAAACCAUUUCUGUAUGGACCUCACUUUGUGCACGGGGGCAAUGUCAUGCUGAAACAGGAAAGGUCCUUCCCCAAACUGUUGCCAAAGAGUCGGAAGCACAGAAUUGUCUAGAAUGUAAUUGUGUGCUGUAGCGUUAAGAUUUCAGUUCACUGGAACUAAGGGGCGUAACCCGAACCAUGAAAAACAGCCCCAUACCAUUAUUCCUCCUCCACCAUUAGGGCAGAUAGCGUUCUCCUGGCAUCCCAAACCCAGAUGUGUCCGCCAGAUGAUGAAGCGUGAUUCAUCACUCCAGAGAACACGGUUCCACUGCUCCAGAGUCCAAUGGCGGCGAGCUUUACACCACUCCAGCCAACGCUUGGUAUUGCGCAUGGUGAUUUUAGGCUUGUGUGCAGCUGCUCGGCCAUGGAAACCCAUUUCAUAAAGCUCCAGUUCUUGUACUGACGUUGCUUCUCGAGGCAGUUUGGAACUCGGUAGUGAGUGUUGCAGCCGAGGUCAGACGAUUUUUAAGCAUUAUGCACUUCAGCCCGCGCCGGUCCCGCUCUGUGAGCUUAUGUGGCCUACCACUUUGCGGCUGAACCAUUGUUGAUCCUAGAAGUUUCCACUUCACAAUAACAGCACUUACAGUUGACCGGGGCAGCUCUAGCUGUGUCGAAAUUGCACGAACUGACUUGUUGGAAAGGUGCCAUCGUAGCAUGAUACCACGUUGAAAGUCACUGAGCUCUUUGUCAGUACGGGCCAUUCUUCUGCCAAUGUUUUGUCUUUGGAGAUUGCAUGGCUGUGUGGUCGAUUUUAUACAACUGUCAGCAACGGAUGUGGCUGAAGUAGCCAAAUCCACUAAUUUGAAGGGGUGUCCAAAUACUACUAGUGUCUGUCUGUCUGUAUGUAGCUAUGUACAGUAUGUAAGUGCAUUCAGAAAGUAUUCAUACCAUUUAACUUUUCAACAUUUUGUUGUAUUACAAAGUGGAAUUAAAAUGUAUUUAAUUUUUAAAAAAUUGGUGAAAGAGAUACACAAAUUCUCAAAGUGGAAGAACAAUUCGUAAAAAAAACACAUUUGUAAAAAAAACACAAAAAAACACUAAUACUGUAUGUCUUGACUCAAUAAGUAUUUAACUCCCUGAGUCAGUACAUGUUAGAAUGUGUGAGUCUUAGAGAAGAGCUUUGCACACCUGGGUUGUAGAAUAUUUGGACAUUAUUCUUUUUUAAAUCGUUGUUGGACAGCCAUUUGUAAGUCUUGCCAUAGAUUUUCAAGCCGAUAUAAAUCCUAACUGUAACUAGGCCACUCAGGAACAUUCAAUGUUGUCUUGGUAAGCAACUCCAGUGUAUAUUUGGCCUUGUGUUUCGGGUUAUUGUCCUGCUGAAAGGUGAAUUUGUCUACCAGUGUCUGUUGGAAUGCAGACUGAACCAGGUUUUACUCUAGGAUUUGUGUAUGUGUUUGGCUUUGUUCUGUUUCUUUUUAUCAACAACAAAAACAACUCCAUAGUCCUUGCAGAUGACAAGCCUACCGAUGACAUGAUACAGCCACCAAGAUGCUUGAAAAUAUGAAGAGUGGUACUCAGUGAUGUGACAUGUUGGAUUUGCCCCAAACACAACACUUUGUAUUCAGGACAUGAAGAUAAUUUCUUUGCCACAGUUUUUGCAGUUUUACUUUAGAGCCUUAAUGCAAACAGGAUGCAUGUUUUGGAAUAGUUUUAUUCUGUACAGGCUUCCUUCUUUUCACUCUGUCAAUUAGGUUAGUAUUGUGGAGUAAUUACAAUGUUGUUGAUCCGUCCUCAGUUAUAUCCUAUCACAGUCAUUAAACUCUGUAACUGUUUUAAAGUUA
Long non-coding RNA from Salvelinus fontinalis (brook trout), 7843 nucleotides. RefSeq lists it as uncharacterized. NCBI's taxonomy places the organism in Eukaryota, Metazoa, Chordata, Actinopteri, Salmoniformes, Salmonidae. The transcript has 3 exons. The record is from RefSeq and is a predicted model, not a curated record.